Molecule: transfer RNA, 87 nt
Filed under: Chloroflexota bacterium
Lineage: Bacteria; Bacillati; Chloroflexota
Description: Chloroflexi bacterium (marine metagenome) tRNA-Ser
Rfam family: tRNA
About the family: Transfer RNA (tRNA) molecules are approximately 80 nucleotides in length.
Source: RNAcentral
GGAGAGGUGCCGGAGUGGACGAACGGGGCGCUCUCGAAAAGCGUUGUGGCUUUACAGUCACCGUGGGUUCGAAUCCCACCCUCUCCG